CAGCCGCCGCGGGAAUACAGAGGGUGCGAGCGUUAAUCGGAUUUACUGGGCGUAAAGCGUGCGUAGGCGGCUUUUUAAGUCGGAUAUGAAAUCCCCGAGCUUAACUUGGGAAUUGCAUUCGAUACUGGGAAGCUAGAGUAUGGGAGAGGAUGGUAGAAUUCCAGGUGUAGCGGUGUAAUGCGUAGAGAUCUGGAGGAAUACCGAUGGCGAAGGCAGCCAUCUGGCCUAAUACUGACGCUGAGGUACGAAAGCAUGGGGAGCAAACAGGAUUAGAUACCCGUGUAGUCCCUGUCUCUUAUAC
This 301-nucleotide ribosomal RNA is filed under the name uncultured bacterium. Its description in RNAcentral is "partial 16S ribosomal RNA". It matches the Rfam family "Bacterial small subunit ribosomal RNA", at positions 509 to 807 of the family's 1533-position model. The record is from RNAcentral.